CACAAUUAUUGACGUAUUAAAAAAACAGCCAUGCUUUCAAUAGACCUUUUUCACGACAACCGGAAGCUGCGUCUGAAAGGGCUGGAGCGCUUCCUGUUUUACUCUGAAAAAUGUCUCUCCUCCGGUGCUUUUCGUCAUCCUUACUUAGUUUGCCAACACUUUCUUUCGCGGAUGCGGAGGAAAUCGCUGCGGCGAAUUCCCCCACCAACAAAUCUGUGAAAGGAUACAAGUUCUUCCAUGAAGAAUAUAUCCACAGUUAUCAAGAUAUCACUGGGUGUUGGAAAAGAAAAGGCAGAAUUGUUGGAUUAUUCCUGUAGCUGUGCAGCUGGUAAAUGUUUUUGCAAUCAUGUAGUUGCACUUCUUUACCAGACUGCACACUACUCCCAACUCCAGCUGCCAAAUGUUCCUGCUGCACUGGCCUGCACUAGUGAGUUACAAAGAUGGCACAGACCAAGAACACAGGGGAUACAUCCUGAACCUGUCAGCGACAUGGUGGUGCAGAAG
Molecule: long non-coding RNA, 504 nt
Organism: Fundulus heteroclitus (mummichog)
Lineage: Eukaryota; Metazoa; Chordata; Actinopteri; Cyprinodontiformes; Fundulidae
Exons: 3
Source: RefSeq, a predicted model, not a curated record